Molecule: ribosomal RNA, 137 nt
Filed under: uncultured eukaryote
Lineage: Eukaryota
Description: partial 18S ribosomal RNA
Rfam family: Eukaryotic small subunit ribosomal RNA
Source: RNAcentral
UGGUGGAGUGAUUUGUCUGCUUAAUUGCGAUAACGAACGAGACCUUAACCUGCUAAAUAGCCCGAAUUGCUUAGGCAGUCCGCUGGCUUCUUAGAGGGACUAUCGGCUCAAGCCGAUGGAAGUUUGAGGCAAUAACA